Cinara cedri is the source of this 1347-nucleotide non-coding RNA. NCBI's taxonomy places the organism in Eukaryota, Metazoa, Arthropoda, Insecta, Hemiptera, Aphididae. The record is from the annotation of a GenBank genome assembly.
CCUUAUUCCUUUCCUUAUAUUAUUCAAAAUCCAUACAUAAAUGCCGAAGUUUAAAAUCCAAAUUAUAAUUAAAAUCGAGGUUUAAGAAAUUACAAACCCUUAGCAUUCGGCAUUCGGCAUUAAAACUAUACGUUGGAGAAUGAAAUGACUCGUAAAAGGUUUUCGUAGACCUGUUGUAAACAGAUGGAAUUAACCAGCUAAUUUCUUCAGGACUUCAGGACAAAUAAUAUUAUCGUUUAAAAUUUUAAAAAAUAAAUGACAUAUUUAUGUCUGGAGGAAAGUGAUUGCAUACCUAGUUUCAAAGCAAGUUCCUUUAUUGGACAAAGUAGCCUAAACUUAAAAGAUAAAUAUCUUAAGAACUAAGAUUGUAUACUAUUUAAAUGGUUUAUAAGGCCAAGCUGGGACGGAUUCCAAAUUAUUGACCUAUACUCCAAAUUAGAACGAACGAGAGAGAACAAAAUAGCAUUUUUAAGAUACUCAAUGUUAUUGAAGUCCGAGCAUUGGCGCAAACUAAUAAAUUAGUACAAGUUGUUUUGCAAUUGCGAAAACCAUACUGUUCAUUUAUAAUAACACUAUUAAAUAAAAUAAUUAGUUUAGGCUCUAUUAACUUUUUUAAAAGUUUGGGUAAUGAAUAUAAUUUAGAGAUUGGACGAUAAUUACUUACUGUGUUAAUAUUACCAGACUUAAAUAUGAGUAUUAUAUUAUAUUAUGAAUAGAAUUCGUUUUGAAACCGCUGAGUUACAAAUAAAAAUAUACUCAAGUUAUUAUUAUUUUUCUUAACUUCGUAAACAAAGAUAAAAUUGCAUUAUAUCAUAACGAUGGGAAUAUAAACGCAAACUUGUUGAAUCAGUUUUAGUGAUUCUCAACCUUCUUUUUUUGCUUAUGCAGUUCUAAAAAAAAUUGGGGCACCUUUAACACUACAUCAUAAGUAUAAUAACUUCAAUUUUAUUAUUGAGUAAAUCGAAUACUGUUCUAAUUCUACUUUCGUUUAUUAAUAGUUAAAAUGACAUUUUUAAAUAUUCAUGCAACAUAAAAACUAAACAUAAUAUUUCGUCGUUGUCCUGUAAAAAGCAACGUUUUGGAAGCAUGUAUUUUUACCUUUAUCUUUGAAAAUGACAGUCCAAAAAUCUCCAAACCCAUUAUAAGAUUAAUGUAGCACUGACCCAACCUAAAAUAACCGAAUUUUCUAGUAAUUUUAACUCUUGAUUCCACAUCAGGUUUAACUGGAAAGACUAGAUAGUUAUAGAAUGUGACUAACUUCGGGGAUUAUUUUCUAUUGGCUGAUACCUUUUUAAUUAUAAUUAAUACGAAUGCUGCAAAACUACAUUUUUUUUUUAAACGUAAUAA